GUGCUCGUUUUGGCACCACAUAUACUAAAAUUGGAACGAUACAGAAGUUAGCAUGGCCCCUGUGCAAGGAUGACAUGGAAAUUCAUUAAGCAUGCCAUGUUUUU
Molecule: small nuclear RNA, 104 nt
Organism: Artibeus jamaicensis (Jamaican fruit-eating bat)
Lineage: Eukaryota; Metazoa; Chordata; Mammalia; Chiroptera; Phyllostomidae
Source: RefSeq, a predicted model, not a curated record